AUUUAAAACGAUUCCACUAAGGUUUAAGGGCAGAUCAUUGAAUUUAAAACAAUUCCACUAAGGUUUAAGGGCGGAUCAUUGAAUUUAAAACGAUUCCACUAAGGUUUAAGGGCGGAUCAUUGAAUUUAAAACGAUUCCACUAAGGUUUAAGGGCGGAUCAUUGAAUUUAAAA
Long non-coding RNA from Eriocheir sinensis (Chinese mitten crab), 172 nucleotides. RefSeq lists it as uncharacterized. NCBI's taxonomy places the organism in Eukaryota, Metazoa, Arthropoda, Malacostraca, Decapoda, Varunidae. The record is from RefSeq and is a predicted model, not a curated record. The transcript has 3 exons.